This 497-nucleotide ribosomal RNA is filed under the name uncultured bacterium. RNAcentral describes it as "partial 16S ribosomal RNA". It matches the Rfam family "Bacterial small subunit ribosomal RNA", at positions 28 to 507 of the family's 1533-position model. The record is from RNAcentral.
GAUGAACGCUGGCGGCGUGCCUAAUACAUGCAAGUCGAGCGAACAGACGAGGAGCUUGCUCCUCUGACGCUAGCGGCGGACGGGUGAGUAACACGUGGAUAACCUACCUAUAAGACUGGGAUAACUUCGGGAAACCGGAGCUAAUACCGGAUAACAUGUUGAACCGCAUGGUUCAACAGUGAAAGACGGUCUUGCUGUCACUUAUAGAUGGAUCCGCGCCGCAUUAGCUAGUUGGUAAGGUAACGGCUUACCAAGGCAACGAUGCGUAGCCGACCUGAGAGGGUGAUCGGCCACACUGGAACUGAGACACGGUCCAGACUCCUACGGGAGGCAGCAGUAGGGAAUCUUCCGCAAUGGGCGAAAGCCUGACGGAGCAACGCCGCGUGAGUGAAGAAGGUCUUCGGAUCGUAAAACUCUGUUAUUAGGGAAGAACAAAUGUGUAAGUAACUAUGCACGUCUUGACGGUACCUAAUCAGAAAGCCACGGCUAACUACGUG